CUUGGUCAUUUAGAGGAAGUAAAAGUCGUAACAAGGUUUCCGUAGGUGAACCUGCGGAAGGAUCACUAAAGUAAACGCCCUCCGGGGCUCUCUUUAUUCACACACCCCUGUGCACUUUGGCCACCUGCCGCGCUUAACUGCGUUAGUAGGUGUGUCUCUUUAUUUAUACCCAUAUACACAAGUCAUUGAAUGUAAAAUCGUUAUAAACUAAUAUAACUUUCAACAACGGAUCUCUUGGUUCUCGCAUCGAUGAAGAACGCAGCGAAUUGCGAUAAGUAAUGUGAAUUGCAGAAUUCAGUGAAUCAUCGAAUCUUUGAACGCAUCUUGCGCUCUUUGGUAUUCCGAAGAGCAUGCCUGUUUGAGUGUCAUGAAACUCUCACCUCCAGCCUUCUUUAAUUAGAGGUGUUGGGGCGUGGACGUGAGUGCUGCUGGUGCCCUGGUUGCAUCGGCUCACUUGAAAUACAUUAGCUGAAUCCUCUAGAGGUGGUUCUACUCGACGUGAUAAGAUCUCCGUCGAGGACAGUGCAACUUGUUGUGCUGGCCGCCGCUAGCAGUUGAUACGCUUCUAAUUAGCGCAGACUUCGAGUGCUGGCAACUUUUGACGACUUGGCCUCAAAUCAGGUAGGACUACCCACUGAACUUAAGCAUAUCAAUAAGUGGAGGAAAAGAAACUAACAAGGAUUCCCCUAGUAACGGCGAGUGAAGCGGGAAGAGCUCAAAUUUAAAAUCUGGCAGGCUACGCUUGUCCGAAUUGUAAUCUCGAGAAGUGUUUUCCGCGUUGGCCUGUGUACAAAGUCCCUUGGAACAGGCGUCAUAGAGGGUGAGAAUCCCGUCCUUGACACAGACACCCAAUGCUUUGUGAUACACUCUCAAUGAGUCGAGUUGUUUGGGAAU
Molecule: small RNA, 894 nt
Filed under: uncultured Cystofilobasidium
Lineage: Eukaryota; Fungi; Basidiomycota; Tremellomycetes; Cystofilobasidiales; Cystofilobasidiaceae
Description: eukaryotic LSU rRNA
Rfam family: Eukaryotic large subunit ribosomal RNA (bases 608-894)
Source: RNAcentral